This 490-nucleotide ribosomal RNA is filed under the name uncultured bacterium. Its description in RNAcentral is "partial 16S ribosomal RNA". It matches the Rfam family "Bacterial small subunit ribosomal RNA", at positions 30 to 507 of the family's 1533-position model. The record is from RNAcentral.
AUUGAACGCUGGCGGCAGGCCUAACACAUGCAAGUCGAACGGUAACAGGAAGAAGCUUGCUUCUUUGCUUACGAGUGGCGGACGGGUGAGUAAUGUCUGGGAAACUGCCUGAUGGAGGGGGAUAACUACUGGAAACGGUAGCUAAUACCGCAUAACGUCGCAAGACCAAAAAGGGGGACCUUCGGGCCUCUUGCCAUCGGAUGUGCCCAGAUGGGAUUAGCUAGUAGGUGGGGUAACGGCUCACCUAGGCGACGAUCCCUAGCUGGUCUGAGAGGAUGACCAGCCACACUGGAACUGAGACACGGUCCAGACUCCUACGGGAGGCAGCAGUGGGGAAUAUUGCACAAUGGGCGCAAGCCUGAUGCAGCCAUGCCGCGUGUAUGAAGAAGGCCUUCGGGUUGUAAAGUACUUUCAGCGGGGAGGAAGGGAGUAAAGUUAAUACCUUUGCUCAUUGACGUUACCCGCAGAAGAAGCACCGGCUAACUCCGUG